ACUUAAAGAGGACGGCAGAUCAAGAGCAUCUCAUCCUCCGGCUGCUGAGUCAUCCUGCUCUGGCAGUUAUUUAAACAGAAGGCUCCAGGAGACAUACAAUCAACACUCCACUCAGACAAUGCCCAGACCUCCAGAAACCAUGUGUCAAGCUCGGAUUGCCUUAGACAGGUGCAAUUUAAGAACAGCUUUCAUCCUCUUUUCUCUCAUAUUGUCACACUAUGUGUUCUGACUUCUGGCUCCUUUCCUCACAAGAAGCUCACCCAGCUGGAACUCUUAUGGGACCUUGGCACCAGAGACCACAAAUUCCUCUUUGAAGUUUUCUAACAGCAACAAUGGAGUUUGUCUAGCAGAGGAGUCUGUCAUGUAAUCAGGAAACUCCAGUACACAACGUGAUAGCUCUAAGACAGGUAUAUACAAGAUGAUGUUCUGGACCUUAACUGUUUGGGGAGUACUACUGCCUUUGUCUAAAAGCCAUCACCCUUUUUAUAUGCCAUUUGGGAGGAACUGGGGGGACGUGGGAGGCUUCAAAGGGUUAUGGGAGGAUGGACAUUUUAAAAGGGCUUUUCUUUUCUUUUUUUUUUUUUGAGACAGAGUUUCGCUCUGUCGCCCAGGCUGGAGUGCAGUGGCGCGCGAUCUCGGUUCACUGCAAGCUCCACCUCCCGGGUUCACGCCAUUCUCCUGCCUCAGCCUCCUGAGUAGCUGGGACUACAGGCGCCCGCCACCACACCCAGGUAAUUUUUUGCAUUUUUAGUAGAGACGGGGUUUCACCGUGUUAGCCAGGAUGGUCUCGUUCUCCUGACCUCAUGAUUCACCCGCCUUGGCCUUCCAAAAUGCUGGGAUUACAGGCGUGAGCCACUGUGCCCUGCCAAAGGCCUUUUCAAAUCUAACGAUGUACUCACAUUUCCACCUGUCUGCCAGCCCUUGUCCAGUUUGACCUGGGCACUCACUGCUGCUCUGGUGGUGAGUACUGCUGAUGGUUCUUUUCCCUGCCCAUCCUUGAGGUGCUCGCUUCAAUAUGUCAAAUGAGGACUCUCAUUACAUUUGGCUGUCAUACAUCAGCCACAACUGUCCUGCCCAGAAGAGCUGGCCUUGGCUUUAAAGCCUACAUCCUGGCUGACCUUCUUUACUGCUUUAUUAAGGAAUCCAACUUGCUGUUUGCUAUCACAUGUGCUAUACAUGCUGUUGAUGAAACUGCUAAAGGGGCUGAAUGUGACUGACGUCUUUGGAAGGAUGAGACUUAGCGUGCCUGUACAGUUGUGUCCAAAUGCUGUCCUCAUCUCCCAAUGAAAAGGGUUUUUCCUUAAGCCUCACAACAAUUUACAGCAUUGCCAGCAGCAUUCAGUACAUUCAGAACAGGAUAAUUUCACCCGCAGCUGAACUAGGGCCAUGCCUGGGACAGACAGAGAAUGGCCUUCCAGCAGACAUGCCAAGAAGCAAGCCAGGGUCAGUGAGUGAAGAGGAGGGCAGGCCCAUUUGAAGCAACACAGUUUAUAUACAUGAAAAGAAAGAAGGAGAGAAGGAAGAAAGGAGGGCGGAAGGAAAGGAAGAAGGGAGAGAAGAAGAGAAGAAAGAAGCAGAGAAAGGAAGAGAAAAGAAAUUACGGCCAGUGCGGUGGCUCACGCCUGUAAUCCUAGCACUUUGGGAGGCCUAAGCGGGCUGAUCACCUGAGGUCAGGAGUUCGUAAGCCAGCCUGGCCAACAUGGUGAAACCCUAUCUCUACUAAAAAUACAAAAAUCAGCAGGGCAUGGUGGUGCGUGCCUGUAAUCCCAGCUACCUGGGAGGCUGAGGUAGGAGAAUCGCUGGAACCCGAGAGGCGGAGGCUGCAGUGAGUUGAGAUCAUGUCACUGCACUCCAGGCUGGGCAACAGAGUGAGACUCUGUCUCAGAAAAAAAAAAAAAGAAAGAAAGAAAGAAAGAAAGUUACCAUUAGUUUUUUGUUGUAUUUGCAAGCAAAGACAAAAGCACCAAGGUACUUGUUUCCUUCUGUAAUUAGAGUUUCAAAUAGACUAAAAGUUUCUGCUCUUAGGUGGGUCUAGAGACUCUCCAGUACCUCAGGACCUCAGGACACAUGGGGUCUCUUGGUUGUUUUCUUUUCAUUGUUGUUGUUUAUUUUAUUUUUGUUUUUAUUUUUUAACUUUAAAACAAUUUUUUGUAGAUGAAUAUGCUUACAUAUGUUUGGGGGUUUUUUUGAGACAGGGUCUUGCUCUGUUGCCCAGGCUGGAGAGCGGUGGUUUAACCACAGCUCACUGCAGCCUCGACCUCCCAAGGUAGGGACUGCAGGUGUGUACACUGGGGUGCACCACCACACCCAGCUAAUUUUUAAAUUUUUUUUUGUAGAUAUUGUCUCACUCUGUUGGCCAGACUGGUCUUGAAAUCCUGGGCUCGAGCAAUUCUCCUGCCUCGGCCUCGUAACGCGUUAGGAUUACAAGCGUGAACACCGCACCUGGCCAGCAUGUGGUCUCUUAACCAGAGGAGGCCUCUUCUGAACUAGGUAGAGGUCCUGAGAAUUGAUUCUGAGAGUAAAAGGCUCUUUGUUCUCCUCAGAGUAGAUUAGAAUCCCUAAUGAUAGAGCAUCUAUUAUUCCUCUAGUGGUCCAUGCCCAACAGAUUCAUCCAAGAAUAGAUGAAGAUCUUUGUAAUGUUGUGCAAGUAAUCUAAUCACCCCACAGAAGAGCUGUGACUUAAAUUAUCCCAGAGUCGGCCCACCUGUUUUCAUAAAGAUCAAUGUAACUUGUAAAUUUCUUCAGUUCUCCUCACCUAUCAUCAUUUGACUAACAAAACCCAGAAAACUAGGCUAGUUAUGGUGGCCUAUGCAUAUAAUCCCAACUCUUUGAGAGGCCAGGGUGGGUGGAUUGCUUGAGUCCAGGAAUUCGAGACCAGCCUGGGCAACAAAGGGAGACCCUGCCUAUAUCCCAGCUAUGCAGGAGGCGAGGCCAGAGGAUUGCCUGAGCCUCAGAGGUUGAGGCUGUAGUGAGCCAUGAUUGCCCCACUACACUCCAGCCUGGAUGACAGAGUGAGACCCUGCCUUAAAAAUAAUAAUAAUAGUAAUAAUAUUUCAUAAAGAUACAGGAAACUAGAUUAUAAUUGACAUUUUCAAAGUGAAAUACUGUCUAGAAUGGUGCUUGGCCAACAGUAAGCUUUUUGUAAGUGGAAGUCAUUACUACUACUAUUUCUUUCAUUAUUAUUACCAUUACUACUUUUUUUUACAAAAAAAAAACCCUGGACAACACACUGAAACCAUUACUACUUCUACUACUAUAACUUAGGUUGCACCUGAUAGAGCCAGCAAUUUUUCCAAGGUAUGACAAUGGCCAUAUGUUUAAUGAUAUAAUUCUAUGGCUCAGUGUAUCUCAGCCUUUUUAAACCCUGCUCUUCUUUUGACAAUUGUAAAAAUCUUAAACUGACCUCCAGUUGAAAUCCUCUGUCAAGAAGAUAUUGUCGGCCAGGGGCGGUGGCUCACACCUGUAAUCCCAGCACUUUUGGAGGCCGAGGUGGGAGGAUCACUUGAGGUUAGGAGUUCAAGACCAGCCUGGCCAACAUAGUGAAACCCCAUCUCUACUAAAAAUACAAAAAUUAGGCAGGCAUGGUGGUGUGUGCCUGUAAUCCCAGCUACUCAGGAGGCUGAGGUAGGAGAAUUGCUUGAACCUGGCAGGGCAGAGGUUGCAGCAAGCCGAGAUCACGCCACUGCUCUCCAGCCUGGGUGAGACUGUCUCAAAAAAAAAAAAAAAAAAGAAAGAAAGUAAGAAAAAGAAGAAAUCCCAAUCUCUUCUUUUAUGUGGAUUCUUCCUCACUUGAAUAAUACUUUUCUUCCCCAGUAUUCUCCAUAUUAUCCCAGAGUCAGCCCCUCUGUUUUUGUAAAGAUCUACGUAACCUCCUCUAAGUUUCCCAGUUCUCCUCACCUAUCAUAUCAUUUGGCUCAACAAAGGGCAGGAAGCUAGAUUCUAAUUGAUAUUUUGAGGCCGGGAGCAGUGGCUCAUGCCUGUAAUCACAGCACUUUGGGAGGCUGAGGCGGGCAGAUCACUGGAGGUCAGGAGUUCGAGACCAGCCUGGCCAAUAUGGUGAAACCUCGUCUCUACUAAAAAUACAAAAAAUUAGCCAGGCUUGGUGGCUUGUACCUGUAAUCCCAGCUACUCAGGAGGCUGAGGCAGGAGAAUAGCUUAAACCUGGGAGGAAGAGGUUGCAGUGAGCCGAGAUUGCUCAAUUGCACCCCAGCCUGGGUGACAGAGCAAAACUCCAUCUCAAAAACAAACAAACGAACAAACCUGAUAUUUUCAAAAUUGAGGCAAUUAUAACAGCUAUUUAGCCAAGCAUUAUGAUAGCAAUAAUAGCAAGAAAAUAAAUUAGUUAACAAAUGAGUCUCAGAAGCCCAAUGAUUUUUAUUUUAUUUUUAUUUUUUGAACUUUUAUUUUAGAAUCAGGGGAUACAUGUGCAGGUUUGUUACCCGGGUAUAUUGCAUGAUGCUGAGUUUUGGAGUAUGCAUGAAUCCAACCUGUCAUCCAGGUAGUGAGUAUAGUACCCAACAGAUAGUUUUUUUAACAUUUACUUCACUCCCUUCCCCAAUCUUGUAUUCCCCUGUGUCUACUGUUCCCAUUUUUAUGACUGUGCCAACAAUAAUUUUUUUUCUUUUUUCUUUAAAUAGAGAUGGGGGUCUCUAUUUAAAGAGCCUCCCAAAGUGCUAGGAUUACAGGUGUGAUCCAUUGCACCUGGCCCAUGCCAACAAUAUUUGAAACCCUUAUCUGCGUGUACAAGUUUGCUACUGGUUUUGUUUUGCUCAUUAAUACAUCCCAAGCAUCUAUACCUGGCUUGUAGUACCAGCAUGUAGUAGGUGCUUAAUAAAUAUUUAUUGAAUAAAUAAAUUAGUUUGACAUUAGUUUAACAUCUCAAGUAAAACAAAAUACCAUUCAAUUAAUUCUCUUCUUCUACUUUUUUCUUUUAAGAGAGACAAAUAGUCACACAUACAUCAGCAGGAGAGGAUACAAUUUCCUGUGUUUAAGUUUUUAUGAGUUACUUUAGUUCAAAUGUCACAGAAAAUUAUAUUGAACUCUUGACCAAUCUAUCUAUUUUUUCCAUUGGAGUAUUGACCCAAAUAAGAAAUAGCAUAAAGGAAAAAUUAUUUUUUGGCAGAAAAAUAUUCUCUCUAAAUUCUUGUGUGUUUUGUUUUGAUUUUUUCCUUAGUGACUGGAGGCCAGUUUCAAUCCACUGAAGCACAGAUUCCAAAUUUUCAAUCUGGUUUUCUUGAGUAGUGACUGAGUGCCAAAAAUGAAGCAAUGACACAACAUCACCAUCAAGACACUCCCCAGCACGCACACACAUGCCAGAGUCCAACACCAAGAUACUCCCCAGCACGCACACACACGCCAGAGUCCAGGCCAUAUUCGGGUGGCUUGCAAGCUUCUUCCCCCCAAGUAUUUACUCUCAAAAUAAUGGUUUUUGUUUUGUUUUGGUUUGGUUUGGUUUGUUUUUUUCCAAAUACAUUUCUUCCCUAUAUCUUUAACCAAUUCUCAUAAAAUUUUGUCUAAUACACUGGUCAGUGUAUUCCAGACCCUAAAAGAUAACAUAAUGAAACUAUCUAUGACUAAAAGGUAAUCAGGAUCUUCUACUUAUCCUUUUUUCCUCCCUCUUAAACUUUAAUUUUGAUACAUUUGGGAGUGAAAUGAUGACAAUAAAUGCAAAGUAAUUAUUGAAGAAACAGUAAUUUUGUAUUAGCUUACUGAAAAAAAAAAAAAAGAUAACCAAAUAUAUUUUGGCAGCCCCAAACGAGUCACAUGUGAAAUGCAGUGGGAGAGCAGUGUCCUGAAGGAAAAGGUGGCCUGCUGGACAGCCAAGAGAACAAACAUCCACUGCAAGUAAUAUGAGCUCUAAGUUUGGACUAGGCCUAUGUCUGCUCUGAGACUUGGGGCAAUUCACUUAAUCAGAGCCUUAAUCAGCUACGGACUAGCAAUAUCCAUACCCGCUACUUAUUUUGUAAAUCUCCUUUCUAAAGUUAACUCUAUUUAUUGUUCCAUAAUCCCAUAAAUUCUAGAAUCUUUUCCUGUUAUAGCCAAGUUGUCUAUCAUUGACAGAGAUAUUCACCUGGUUGUUUUGGCUUCUCUAAUCCUCCUGGUGAGAACACCUCCAAGGGAGCUUUCAGUGGCAUUUAAGGUCACUUGUGCUCUUGGUCCUAGAAACUGCCUUGAUAGUGGUUUUAGCUCACAUGAGGUAAGUCUUUAUUAUAUGCCCAACCUCUUUAUGCAUUACUUCAUUUAAUUGUAUACUAAUCCUUUGUCAUAGGUUAUCAGAGUGUUUGAUUAUAAGUUACAGGAAGAAAAAAAAAAACAAACUCCAAUUGACUAAAACAAUGGGGCAUUUUUUGACUCACAUAACAGAGAGUCUAGAGAGAAGGCACCUUCAGGUUUGGCUGAUGAAUCCUGUAUCUCUGCCUUGUCUCCAGGCCCCCAGGUUCUGCCUCUGUCCUGACAUCCAGUGUUGGAUUCCUCUUCACAUCAACUCCUCUCUGUAGGUUGGGCCAUCAGACCCUACCUCCUUAUUUAUGUUGAGCAAAGGAGAGAGAAUGCCUCUACAAACAAUGAAAAAAGUGAAAAAAAAAAUCUUUCUCCUCCUUAUAACUUUAGUUAGCUUAACUUUAGUCAGUUGCUUAGCUACUAAACAGUAGCUAUUGGGAGGUGGGAAGGAAUACUAUUGUGUAAUCAACUAAGGCUCAUACAGAGGAUUAGGGUUAUCUGAAUUGAUUUGAAUUAAUUAGAAUUUACUCUCAGAGCUGUGGCAAUUCCUUGAACCACACUGAUUGCUAUAAAGUGGAAGAGGAAUAGAUUGAAUUUUGGGGAGUCAACUACAAUGUGUACUACAGGUAAAUACUAUGAAUUUCCAAUUCACAGAUGAGAAAACUGAGGCAUGUGGUGGGAGGGAGGUUAUGUAAUUUGCCCAGUGUCACAGUUGAACCUAGGCAAAGGCCUAUCUCCAGGUCUAAACAAUUCAGUGGCCUCCUGUGUACAUUUCUGUCUCUCCUUUUUUAUCCACUGUGUCACCGAGGCUGGAUUGCAGUGGCUCGAUCAUGGAGAUCAUGGCUUUCUGUAGCCUUGAACUCCUGGGCUCAAGUGAUCCUCCUGCCUCAGCUUCCUGAGUGGCUGGGACUACAGGCUUGACAACACACCCGGCUAUCCCGUGUAUAUUUCUUGAGGGCUUAUGAUAUAUAAGAGAAACUCCAAAAUAAGAGGACGGUGUGCUAAGGGGAAGACCAAAGCACUAUCAAGAGGUAGAUUCAAUCGUACCCCUUCUAUUUACUAGUUGUGUGACUCUUUUGAAAAUGAGAAUAAUAGGCCAGGCUCGGUGGCUCCUGCCUGUAAUCCCAGCACUUUGGGAGGCUGAGGCAGGUAGAUCACCUGAGGUUAGAAGUUCAAGACCAGCCUAGCCAACAUGGCAAAACCCCAUCUCUAUUAAAAAUACAAAAAUUAGCCGGGAAUGGCAGCAUGUGCCUGUAGUUCCGGCUACUCAGGAGGCUGAGGCAGGAGAAUCACUUGAACCCAGGAGGCAGAGGUUGCAGUGAGCCGAGAUUGCGCUACUGCACUUCAGCCUGGGUGACAGCGAGACUCCAUCUCAAAAAAAAAAAAAAAGGAAGAAAAGAAAAGAAAAUGGGAAUAAUAAAACUUACUUACUGGAGCAGUAGCAAAGAUUAAAAUUUAGACCAUGCAGAAGAAUGUUUUUCAAAAUGACAUGACCUGGUAAUAGGAUAGAAAUGCAAAUUCCUGUUACUGCACCAGACCCACCAAAUAAGAAACUCUGGGGAUGGGACCCAGGACUAAGUACUUUAAUAAGCACUCCAGGUGAUUCUAAUGAUUGUUAAAGUUUGAGAACCACUGGUCUAACACAUUGCCUGGUACAUAAGCUCUUAUUUUGUUGUUAUUGUUCUAAGGACAAUGUGUGUAUUGACUUCUAUUUCCAGGAGUUCAUGACUUGGAGAACUAGGGAAAGGAAGACAAAAAUUCUUUAAUGCAGAACGAUACUGAUUGAUAAAUACCUGAAUAUAAUACAGGUUAAAUGUGCUUUGAAGAUUUAUAAAAGGUUGAAUUUAUUUCCAGCAAGAUGACUCUCAGAAGCCUUUAUAGAUUAGAGAAGAAAUGGAAAGGGGUAAAAAUAAUUAGGAACUAUAAAGCAGGGCAGACAAGUUUUCAAUGGUUACUGCCAAUGUGUAUACAGAAAGUUAGCUUGGCCAGGCAAAGUGGCUCAUGCUUGUAAUAUCAGCACUUUGGGAGGCCAAGGCGGGCAGGUCACCUGAGAUCAGGAGUUUGAGACCAGCCUGACCAACAUGGUGAAACUCUAUCUCUACUAAAAAUACACAAUUAGCCCAGCAUGGUAGAGCAUGCCUGUAAUCCCAGCUACUCAGGAGGCUGAGGCAGGAGAAUCGCUUGUACUUGGGAGGCAAAGGCUGCAGUGAGCUGAGAUCGUGCCAUUGCACUCCAUCCUGGGAAACAAGGGUGAAACUCCGUCUCCAGAAAAAAAAAAGUUACCUUGAAAUAUAUCAAUACAAACAAAUAAAUUAGAUAUUUCAUAUUGUACAGGAACAAAACCCAUCAGAAGAUGUCAGAAGAUAAGGAUUUUUGUCCUGAUGCUACACUUACCAGCUGUCCCUCAGUGUUCUACUUCUUAAAAAAAGAGAGGUUGGUCCUGAUCCCUGGUUCUUAACCAGGGGAAAAUGAAGUGGGGCCAGGGCAUGUGCAGACUUAAAAAUUACACAGGGGAAUGUAGGCACGAUCUGUUUAAGAAAUACUGGACUAAAUGGUCUCUAAUCUGUGAUUGUAGAUUAAAGAAUAAUCUACAAUCUACACCGUGUUGGCCAGGCACGGUGGCUCACACCUGUAAUUCCAGCACUUUGGGAGGCUGAGGUGUGUGGAUCACAUGAGGUCAGGAGUUCGAGACCAGCCUCACCAAUGUGGCAAAACCCCCUCUCUACUAAAAAUACGGAAAAUUAGCUGGGUGUGGUGGUGCAUGUCUGUAGUCCCAGCUACUCGGGAGGCUAAGGCAUGAGAAUUGCUUGAACCUGGGAGGUGGAGGUUGCAGUGAGCCAAAAUCACGCCACUGCACUCCAGCCUGGGUGACAGAGUGAGACUCUGUCUCAAAAAAAAAGAAAAAAUAAAUAAUCAAAUGUAAAGUUAGCACAUAAAGGAGGCAUGUACAUAUUAUUAAAAUCUAUAUGACUACCUCUCCUUUUUCAUUUUUGGCUCAAUAUCUGUAUCUGAACACCUAAUUAAUGAAAGGAAAACAUUUGUAAUAUGUAGCAACUAAAAUGUCACCUUCUCUGUGGGGAUCACAAAGUCCUUGGCAAUCACUUCCAUACCAGACAAGUGAGUAUUGUCCUUCUCCUUUUCCAGAUGGAUAAACAGAGGCAACCCGAGGAUAAAGGCCUUGCUCAGUGUCACACAUUUCAGUCACUAAAUAAGACACAAUGGAUGCCAGUAUUCUCAUCCCCUCACAAAUAAAGAGCCUUCAAGCUCUUGCAGUCAACAAGAACUUUUGGAAUGAUUUCACUGCCUGAAAAGGCAGAUACAUAGGUGACACCCACAAAUAGGAAGAAAAUCAACCUGAACCUGAGUGUGUGGGCUCACUGACUCUAAGCAGUAGAGACAGAAGAAAAAGUUUUAGCAAAGAAGGGUUCUGAAAGAAAAUAAAUAUAGCUCGUUAUCAAGUGCUGUUUUUACACAGUAAAACAUGGGCAAAAUUACUCUUCUUUAAGUAGUAAUUCUUAUCUCUUGAUUAAGUCACCUACUCAUUCAUUUAAUAAAUACAUACUGAUUGUUUUCUAUGUGUUGAGCACUCAUCUCUGUAUUGGAAAUAUAAUAAUGACCAAAGUUGACAAUAGUAAUAACAAUAAUAGCUAAUAUAGCAGGCACUAAUAAUUAUUUGUUGAGUAAUAUGUCAAAAUUCAGUGUGAACAGCAUUCUAUUUGGGGCUGCAUCCACUGACUAUAACACAGCUAAUCUAUCUGAAAUGUUCCAGCUUUGGGCCUCUCUAACAGAAGAAGCUGUUGUUGGGCCUGCCUCUAGUUGGCGAUGCAUCCACCAAUGAGAAUGAAUUUAUGAUCGACCACUCUUCCUGUAAAGGCCGCUGGAACUGACAGCAUUGUGAUUUUCUUUUACUGUUAGUUUUAAAUUACUAGAACCAACUCAAUUACUAGAACGAACUUUACUUCUUUGUUUCCUACUUAUCAAAACAGUAAAAACAACAAGUAAAAGAAAUGCCAUCUUAAUAUUGUUUUGAUGACAAAACAGUAUUCCUUUUAGUUGUGCUUCAAAUGGAAUAAGAUGCAAACAGGCUUGGUAUGGUGGCUCACCCCUGUAAUCCCAGCCCUUUGGGAGGCCAAGGUGGAAGGAUUGCUUGAGGCCAUGAGUUUGAGACCAGCCUGCGCAACAUAGCAAGACCGUGUCUCUACAAAAAAUAAAAAAUUAGCUGAGUGUAGUGGUGUGUGCUUGUGGUCCCAGCUACUUUUGAGGCUGAGGAGGGAGAAUCUCUUGAGCCCAGAAGGUCGAAGUUGCAGUGAGCCGUGAUCGUGCCAUUGCUCUCCAGCUUGGACAACAAAGCAAGACCCUAUGUCAAAAAAUAAAUAAAUAAAAGACAUAAACAUAUCUGAGAUUAACUUUCAGUGGUAAAUUUGUUCCAUAUAUGAUUUUUAAGGUUAAAUGCUUUGGAAGCUUUAAAAACCAUUUCAGCCCUUUUAAAUGCCAACUUACACUGAUGAUGCUCUCAGAUGUUAGGAAAUCUUUUGAGCAGAAAAUGGAAGUGGGGGUGUUGAGGCAGGGAGGAGAGUGAUGCAAUAUUCCUUAGUGUCAUCCUGUGAUUUCACAAUUUGUUUUUCAAUCUGUUUGGACUUUCAAAAGGGAAGACUCUCAUAUGUCAACAAGCCCAUGAACUGAAGCUUAAAACACUGGAAACAACAACUGUAGAGUUUCAAGUAUAUGUACAUUUAUGUAUUCAUGUUCCUUGAUGGGAAUGCUGGCUGGUGUGAAUGUUCAAUCUCCUGAGAAAUGUAAAUUUUUCUCUGACAGAUUUAUUAGCUUGCUGUAUCUGAGCACAUGAGCAAAAACAAUGCCUAAUAAGAAAACUUUCUCUCUCCUUCAAAGUCAAACUUGGGAGAAAUGAAGGGAAAUCGAGUUUUCUUUGCUUGACAGUGUUCAACAUUCUUGUAGUCAGUGUGCUCAUGAAGAUUGCAAACUUUUUUUUUUUUUUAGAGCAGCUAGGACUACAGGCGCGCACCACCACACCCAGCUAAUUUGUGUAUUUUUAGUAGAGAUGGGGUUUUAACUAUGUUGGCCAAGCUUGUCUCAAACUCCUGACCUCAAGUGAUCCAUUCGACAGCUCUUUCUUUUUUUUUUUUUUUUUUGAGACAAAGUCUCGCUCUGUCACCCAGGCUGGAGUGCAGUGGUAUGAUCUCAGCUCACUGCAACCUCCGCCUCCUGGGUUCAAGCAAUUCUCAUGCCUUAGCCUCCCGAAU
This 11480-nucleotide long non-coding RNA is filed under the name Homo sapiens (human). RNAcentral describes it as "HSALNT0091306". The record is from RNAcentral. Lineage: Eukaryota; Metazoa; Chordata; Mammalia; Primates; Hominidae.